AUUGAACGCUGGCGGCAGGCCUAACACAUGCAAGUCGAACGAGUGGCGGACGGGUGAGUAAUUUCUGGGAACCUGCCCGAUGGAGGGGGAUAACUACUGGAAACGUUGGCUAAUACCGCAUACUAUCGUAUGUGCCCAGGUGGGAUUAGCUAGUCGGUGGGGUAAAGGCUCACCUAGGCGACGAUACCUAGCUGGUCUGAGAGGAUGACCAGCCACACUGGAACUGAGACACGGCACAGACUCCGACGGGAGGCAGCAGUGGGGAAUAUUGCACAAUGGGCGCAAGCCUGAUGCAGCCAUGCCGCGUGAAUGAAGAAGGCCUUCGGAUUGUAAAGUACUUUCGGUGGGGAGGCGUUACUCAAAGAGGAAGCAACGGCUAACUACGUGCCAGCAGCCGCGGUAAUUC
Molecule: ribosomal RNA, 406 nt
Filed under: uncultured bacterium
Lineage: Bacteria
Description: partial 16S ribosomal RNA
Rfam family: Bacterial small subunit ribosomal RNA
Source: RNAcentral